Betta splendens (Siamese fighting fish) is the source of this 1607-nucleotide long non-coding RNA. The record is from Ensembl. Lineage: Eukaryota; Metazoa; Chordata; Actinopteri; Anabantiformes; Osphronemidae.
CUCGUGGUCUACUGCCAUUUCCUGGUAAUACAGUACACGUUAUUUACAGUAUAGUCCAGUAUUGUGAGGUAUUGCCUUCUCCACACAGUUGUGUGCGUUUUCUGCAACAUGUCGUGAGAGAAAUGAAAAAGAAGUGAUCCGCCAACCGCGAACUUUACUUUCUAAGCCGCGCUCCUUUACGCACUUUGCGUUGUGACGCACGUUUGACCAACAGUGUCUCCAGUUCGGCGUUGGUGCAGCUGGAGGUGGUGCUUCACAGGCGAGGUAAAACAAGGAUGGAGCGCGUCCUGAUACUUGUGGUGAUGUUAGCGGGAGGAAUUCAUGCUCUUUUUCCAGUGUUGGACACUAACUGCGAUGCUACCCGGGGCACCACCUCGUGCAAUGCUACGUCUGGAGGGUCUGUGUACAUCCAGGUGAUGUCCAACGUUAGUGGCCACAUGGUGCACUGUAAGAUGAACAUGGGGUCCACCAAGGUUUUCACCAUGAAAAAGGAAGCGGUGAAGAUGCACAGGGACAAUGCCGAGUUUUUCAUCAGCAACGGGACGCUGAAGCUCACAAACCUGACCAAGAACGACACGGGCCAAUACAGAUUUGAUAUCUACGAUCACAAUGGGGUCCUCCAGCGAAACACCACGGUUCAUCUGCACGUUCAAGGCAAGUACGAGUUACACCACGUGAGCGUAAAUCAAACAUUACUCCACCACGAGGAGCUGGAAGGUGUGGUCGACAGGAACUUGUGGUUUAACAGACAGUUUCUCUCCUUUUUAUCCUGUUUUUCUCUUUACAUUGUGAGGUUUGCACGUUUUUGUUUUGUGACACUUGUAGCGUAGUGAGCUGCUGGUAGCAAACACAUGCUCCAGCUGAUCCUCUUCUAAUUAUUCUCAUAUCACUGUCAGUGUUCUUUAAGUUUUUAUUUCCUUCUUUCACCUGAAUCCUCACUGCUGCUUCAAUUAAAGCAAGUGUUAUAACAGUUAUUAAUUUUUCAAAAUUUUAUAAUAUUUCAUAAUUAUACAGCCUACUGUAUGGUUACUGUUGUGGUCUUUUGUCUUUAGACUCACAGUUCAUGCUGAUCCUCAUACUGGUCAUUGCUUGUGCAACGUUUCUACUGCUGGUGAUUCUGCUAAUUAUCUGCAUUUGUUGUAAGAUGUCAGGUAAGACAUGCAUUCCUGAGAACCCUAAUAUUAAUGACAGCGUAUUUGGUCUAAAGGUCUUUCGCUUUCUAUUUUAAGAGCAAAACUUUCUUUUCUUUUUUGCAGCAGCGAGAAAGCAAAAACGCACAACUGUAUACUCUUAUUGAGUUCAAACAUCUACCAUGAGGCUGGUGGUUAAUGAAAGUCUCCAGGAACCAGCAGCAACAGGUGCUCAGGUCAAAGGUCAAAGAGAGAUAAAUAGUCAAGUCAUUGUAAACGAAACAUGUCGUCUAAUGCAUUGAGCUGUAUCACUGUGUAUCUGUAUUAACAUUAAUGAGCUUCUGAUACGAACACACUCCGUGUGUUUAAAACUAAAUAUGAAUUAUUGUUCUAUCACCUAAAUAUGUGUGAUAAAGUAAUUGCAUUUUAACUUUUAAUGUAAAUAAAAUGUACAUACUGUAUAAUUUUAUAUGAGGA